This 468-nucleotide ribosomal RNA is filed under the name uncultured bacterium. Its description in RNAcentral is "partial 16S ribosomal RNA". It matches the Rfam family "Bacterial small subunit ribosomal RNA", at positions 28 to 507 of the family's 1533-position model. The record is from RNAcentral.
GACGAACGCUGGCGGCGUGCUUAACACAUGCAAGUUGAACGGAAAGGCCCUGCUUUUGUGGGGUGCUCGAGUGGCGAACGGGUGAGUAACACGUGAGUAACCUGCCCUUGACUUUGGGAUAACUUCAGGAAACUGGGGCUAAUACCGGAUAGGAGCUCCUGCUGCAUGGUGGGGGUUGGAAAGUUUCGGCGGUUGGGGAUGGACUCGCGGCUUAUCAGCUUGUUGGUGGGGUAGUGGCUUACCAAGGCUUUGACGGGUAGCCGGCCUGAGAGGGUGACUGGCCACAUUGGGACUGAGAUACGGCCCAGACUCCUACGGGAGGCAGCAGUGGGGAAUAUUGCACAAUGGGCGGAAGCCUGAUGCAGCAACGCCGCGUGCGGGAUGACGGCCUUCGGGUUGUAAACCGCUUUCGCCUGUGACGAAGCGUGAGUGACGGUAAUGGGUAAAGAAGCACCGGCUAACUACGUG